Molecule: long non-coding RNA, 806 nt
Organism: Peromyscus californicus insignis
Lineage: Eukaryota; Metazoa; Chordata; Mammalia; Rodentia; Cricetidae
Exons: 4
Source: RefSeq, a predicted model, not a curated record
CUCGAACCUCUAACUGGAGGGAGUUGGUUGUGGCCUUGGCCUGGAUCCUGCCAUGGGAUGGACGCUGCGGUUCCAAGUUGGUGGCCAGGAGAUGCUCCCCACGGAAGAGAGACAGUGUGUCCGACGGCGUGAUGACCAGGACAGUGGCUGAAGGAUAAGCAGCAGGGGCUCACUGGUCACAGGCCUCUCUCUGUGAGUUGGAGGCUCUGCUGAUCUUUGUGCGUGAGAAGCAGCUCCCACACCUUGAUGGCAGAGAAGUGGCCACAACAUGGCCCUUGUGGAGAAGCUGUAGCUGGGCUGGGGGAUCGCUGUCUACAUGGCAUGAGAGGAGGCCACGCCGUCCAGUCCCAACACCGGAGCCCAGCUAGGCUCCAAGAAGCACACCGAGCAGCCACGAACAGCCGUGUGGGGUGGCCACAGCACAAGGGUACCCAGACGACAUUGGCAUUCAUCUGGGCUCCACAUCUCAAACUGUGACCUGCUGCUGAACUGAGUCUUCCCAGAAGGGGUGACAUUUUCCAGCUGGGAUCAAGGUAUUAUAUUAUCAGCCACCUUGCGUGUCCCAUCUGAAGCAGAACACCCUCAGAGCAGUCCCCAAGACUGCCGCUAAUACACCCACCCCGUCACUGAGCAAUGCCUCCAAGUUCAUUCCCCCUUUAUUUGUUCCCCAACCCAGAUCCUGACAUACUAGAUAUCAGUCGAAAUGGCCUCUCUAGCUUUGUUGCUGUUUUGGCGGUUUUGAUGGUGAAUAAAUACUGUCAACUUGAAGGCUCAAGAAUCAUCUAGAAGAUGAACCUAUGGGCAUG